Molecule: small RNA, 692 nt
Filed under: Pongo abelii (Sumatran orangutan)
Lineage: Eukaryota; Metazoa; Chordata; Mammalia; Primates; Hominidae
Description: retained intron
Source: RNAcentral
GCCGUCGCCAUGACCCGUGAGCACCGAGCCCCCUUCUCCUUGCCCUUUUAUUUCCGUUCACCCUCAACACCACCGGCGAGGCGCCGGCUUUGACCUUCCGUAGCUUCCCGAGCGAGGCGUUUCUCUGGGCGCGCUCUGUAGCCACCCUCACACUCGGUGCCCGGAAAUCGAGCCCUUUGCCCGCGGCUACUUCACGGGACCACCCUCCCGCGUUAGGCAUAGGCCCUCCCGGCUCUUCCGCGGUGCGGUAACCAGCGUGAGCUCGCCCGCCAGAAAAAUAUGAAAAAGCAGAGCGACUCGGUUAAGGGAAAGCGCCGAGAUGACGGGCUUUCUGCUGCCGCCCGCAAGCAGAGGUAGCCCCAGGGAGGGGAGGGAAAGGGACGGUGGAGACCUGGGUUAGACCAAGGGUUAUAGCAGGAAAGAGAGCUACCUCAGGGCUUGAAUGUGGACUAGUCGUGAGGAGGAGAGUGCAUUGCUUCCUCUAGGGUUUUAUUUCCUCCCCACCCUCCAAAUUGUUAGCUCACAGCUUUACAGGAAAGGACGGGGGCGGGCGCCUGCCCUCAGUCUGAUUUCUGAGCGUCCCUGGGUCUGACCUUAAGGGCAAGGGCAGGGAGCUUCACAUUUCAAAUACAGUUGUGGUUAUGGCAGCCCAGUACUUUUGGCCCUCCUUGCUGUUCGGUUCUCCUCCCUUC